GACGAACGCUGGCGGCGUGCCUAACACAUGCAAGUCGAACGGAAAGGCCCUGCUUUGGUGGGGUGCUCGACGGGCGAACGGGGGAGCAACACGUGAGUAACCUGUCCCUGACCGUGGGAUAACUUCAUGCCACUGGGGCUAAUACCGGCUAGGAGCUCCUGCCGCAGGGUGGGGGUGGGUUAGUUUCGGCGGUUGGGGGUGGACUAGCGGCUUAUCAGCUUGUUGGUGGGGUAGUGGCUUACCAAGGCUUUGACGGGUAGCCUGCCUGAGAGGGUGAGCGGCCCCAUUGGGCCUGGAAUGAGGCCCAGACUCCACCGGGAGGCAGCGGUGGAGUAUAUUACACAAGGGGCGGAAGCCAGAUGCAGUACCGCCGCGUGCGGGGUGACAGCCUUCGCGUAGUGAACCGAUUUCGCCUGUGCCGAGGCGUGAAUGACGGUAAUGGGUAAAGAAGCACCGGCUAACUACGUG
RNAcentral lists this ribosomal RNA (468 nucleotides) under uncultured bacterium. RNAcentral describes it as "partial 16S ribosomal RNA". It matches the Rfam family "Bacterial small subunit ribosomal RNA", at positions 28 to 507 of the family's 1533-position model. The record is from RNAcentral.